Molecule: ribosomal RNA, 497 nt
Filed under: uncultured bacterium
Lineage: Bacteria
Description: partial 16S ribosomal RNA
Rfam family: Bacterial small subunit ribosomal RNA
Source: RNAcentral
GAUGAACGCUGGCGGCGUGCCUAAUACAUGCAAGUCGAGCGAACGGACGAGAAGCUUGCUUUUCUGAUGUUAGCGGCGGACGGGUGAGUAACACGUGGAUAACCUACCUAUAAGACUGGGAUAACUUCGGGAAACCGGAGCUAAUACCGGAUAAUAUUUUGAACCGCAUGGUUCAAAAGUGAAAGACGGUCUUGCUGUCACUUAUAGAUGGAUCCGCGCUGCAUUAGCUAGUUGGUAAGGUAACGGCUUACCAAGGCAACGAUGCAUAGCCGACCUGAGAGAGUGAUAGGCCACACUAGAACUGGGACACGGUCCAGACUCCUACGGGAGGCAGCAGUAGGGAAUCUGCCGCAAAGGGCGAAAGCCUGACGGAGCAACGCCGCGUGAGUGAUGAAGGUCUUCGGAUCGUAAAACUCUGUUAUUAGGGAAGAACAUAUGUGUAAGUAAAUGUGGACAUCUUGACGGUAACUAAUCAGAAAGCCACGGCUAACUACGUG